This 285-nucleotide ribosomal RNA is filed under the name uncultured bacterium. RNAcentral describes it as "partial 16S ribosomal RNA". It matches the Rfam family "Bacterial small subunit ribosomal RNA", at positions 335 to 612 of the family's 1533-position model. The record is from RNAcentral.
GGACCUACGGGGCGCAGCAGUGGGGAAUAUUGCGCAAUGGGGGCAACCCUGACGCAGCCAUGCCGCGUGAAUGAAGAAGGCCUUCGGGUUGUAAAGUUCUUUCGGUAGCGAGGAAGGCAUUUAGUUUAAUAGACUAGGUGAUUGACGUUAACUACAGAAGAAGCACCGGCUAACUCCGUGCCAGCAGCCGCGGUAAUACGGAGGGUGCGAGCGUUAAUCGGAAUAACUGGGCGUAAAGGGCACGCAGGCGGUGACUUAAGUGAGGUGUGAAAGCCCCGGGCUUAA